GGUGCCAUGGCCUAGUUGGUUAAAGCUCCUGCCUAAUAAACAGGAAAUCCUGGGUUCAAAUCCUAGUGGUACCU
Molecule: non-coding RNA, 74 nt
Organism: Alligator sinensis (Chinese alligator)
Lineage: Eukaryota; Metazoa; Chordata; Crocodylia; Alligatoridae
Source: Rfam